Molecule: long non-coding RNA, 1956 nt
Filed under: Paramuricea clavata
Lineage: Eukaryota; Metazoa; Cnidaria; Anthozoa; Malacalcyonacea; Plexauridae
Source: RNAcentral
UGUUUUUAGAUAAUUAUGGACAAACUACUGAUUAUACCCAAGUCUUAUCCACACACUGAAUCAUCCUGGCUUAUUUUAGGUAUGGCAAUUGUUGAAUCUGUGUUUGCAUGUGCAUCUUUUUGUUUUUCUAUGUAACAUUUAACUGUAGAGAGCAAUCGGAGGCUACAUAUCUAUGGAUGCAGGGCCGUCGGGGGUUACAUGUGGGGUGAAUUAAAAGGAUACGUCUGGAAAAUCUCCCCCCACCCUGCCAACAAUUUUGGAAAAAGAAAUAUUACUUAGGGACUGAAAUGUUGUCGGCAAAUGCGACACUACACCCCCCUCCUUGCUUUAGCCUCUUCGUUACGGCCCUGUAUACAUGAUUGGAACAUAACUCGCUAGCGGAAAUUAUAUGUACAUGCAAAGGGCAAACUACGCAAUCAAAAAGGGGUGAAUAUAGCCGGAAUAAACCUUUCCCCUUAUAACCAAAAUUUUGAUCUAGGCAAGUCUAGACAAAUAUUUCAUCACAGCUUGAAAGAGCAUCACAAAAUUAGUAAUAUUCCAAAGUUUCGUUGCGAAAUGUUCUAAAAUGCGGAUAAUAUAGCCUUGCGAAGUUUGCAAUUUUCAGUCAUUUUGCAUUACAAACGGGAAAUUGCAGUCCCAACACCCGAAUCGUAUGUCAAUUUCCCGUUUGUAAUACAAAAUGACUGAAAAACGGCAAACUUCGCAAGGCUAUAUUAUCCGCAUUUUACAAGAUUUUGCAACACAACUUUGGAAUAUUACUAAUUUGGUGAUGCUCUUUCAAGCUGUGAUGAAAUUUUUGUCUAGAUCGAAAUUUUAGUUAUAAGGGGAAAGGUCCAUUAGAGCGCUGUGUUUGGAAUCGCAGGGCCGCAGGUUCGAUUCCUGUCAGAGGAUCGAUAAUUGCAUUUUUCGCAACCGCUCCUGGUUAGGUCUAAUAAUUGUUAAAAAAAAUUCCACUUCAAAUUUCCAUCUACAAAUCCUUUCAACGAAUUCUGUGAGAUCCGUAUUCUACAUGUUAUAGUUCAGCUGGAAUUUAUACCAACACAGAACGCUUCAUUUGGAUGCGCAAAGGAAACUCUGAAUGGACUUUCACCUUUUGACUAAAAUUUAGAUUUCAACAAGUCUAGACAAAAAUUUUAUCACAGCUUGAAAGAGCAUCACAAAAUUAGUAAUAUUCCAAAGUUUCGUUGCGAAAUGUUGUAAAAUGCGGAUAAUAUAGCCCUGCGAAGUUUGCGAUUUUCAGUCAUUUUGUAUUACAAACGGGAAACACAUACAGUACCCUUUUUUCGAAGGAGGUAUGUAUUUCCCGCGCGUAAUACAAAAUGACUGAAAAUGGCAAACUUCGCAAGGCUAUAUUAUCCGCAUUUUACAAUAUUUCGCAAUGAAACUUUGGAAUAUUACUAAUUUUGUGAUGCUCUUUCAAGCUGUAAUAAAAUAUUUGUCUAGACUUGUUCAGAUCUAAAUUUUAGUCAAAAGGUCCAUUGGCGUAUAUAAACUAAGUAACUUUAAGUUGAUGAUACCCCUCCCCUCUCCCCACGACGUGGAUGGAUCAAUGAAGUAGUUCUCCUCUUAGAUUGCUUACUUGAAAUGCGGAAUUGUGAGGUUUAUGAAAAACGGUCAGUUUGGACUCAGGUGGUGAGUUGCAUGUAAGCAAUGUAGUGUUCCUCGUUUCGUACUCACAACAUUGUUAAAACAAUGCUGAACAUGACAAUGGUGGAGAGAAAGAAUUUGAAGCAGUUUUAUAGAGUAUCUAAAUAUAAUACCGUGUAUUCUCUUUGAGAAGUUAAAUUUAUUAAUUUGUGCUACAUUUAGCAAACAAGCCUGACUACCCUGGUUUCGCUUGCAUGGAUUGUUUUCAACCUUAAGGUUUUACACUCUGACUCAAGUAACAGUUCUGGGUUGAAAAAUUGUUUAUUAGUCUAAUAAUGCAUGAAAUAUAAUAUGAUGAAAAAAUUGUGG